ACUUUAUUGGUAUGCGAAACUUCCGGGACCCGUCUUCCGGCAACAUUUUGGGUGCGCCAUGGCGCUUUUUUUUUUCGUUUUUGUGUGUGGCGGGUGUGUGUCCUGGAGGUGGCGCCCAAGGCCGCCGCCCAUGACACGGGGUUCGGCACGCCCCAAAACGGCACCCCCCCCACAACGACCUGGGCACCCUUGGGCUUCUAACUAACGCUAUAUAAGUAUCAGUUUCUGU
RNAcentral lists this unclassified non-coding RNA (229 nucleotides) under Leishmania panamensis. RNAcentral's name for it is "trans-spliced leader RNA". Lineage: Eukaryota; Euglenozoa; Kinetoplastea; Trypanosomatida; Trypanosomatidae. The record is from RNAcentral.